CAUGAUUUUCUGGUCAGACUGCAUCAGCUCCCUCUUCUCCACCAGGACAGUAGGGAUCUACAGCCCAAGAACCAAAGACUUUGGACAUUUUGUUCUACUUGGGAAGUUUGUAAUGUUAUCUUCUGCUGUGGAGCAUAGUGCAAAGAAAUAGGGGGAAGAAAGGUGGGUUUCUUCUGUCUCCACCCCAAAGACCAAGGAUACUUUCUUCCCUGAGGGUUGCCUCUGCAUUGCAAGUUUUUUCUGACCCUUCACUACACAGAUGGACAACUCAGGUGGCCAGAGGACUUCAACUGAAUGGAAUUACACAAUGAUUUGUUGAACAUGUAUUGUGCACCAGGGAGUAUGUGAGGCUAUGUGGUAGGCAUGAGAUGAACAAUGGAAGAUUCUUGCCCCAUGGAAGGUGACCACUGGAAUUAGAAAUCCUAGCAUCACCUAAGGAAAGGCUCAGAUCUUCCCUGGUGGAGGUUGGGGAUCUUCCCGAAGGGACCUUUUGGACCCAGAGCUCUUGUAUCAUUGCCUCUUGGCAAGAGGUUUAGAGACUCCCUUCAUCAUGAAGUUUCACAGACUCCUUCAGCCUUUAUCUUUCCUGAGUUCUAUGGGGAAAAGCUAGGUUAGAUAUGUGGAGUGACUCACCGAGACCUGAGAAGGCAUCUGCAUGAGGCUGCGGGGGUGUCCUUAGAGAAAAGGGAAGCUGCAGUGUGGAGGCUGGGGGAUGCACAAGAUGAUCUCCAGAGUCUCUCAGCCUUCAGAAGCGCAGGCUCUCUGAGGCCACAUUCCUUCCUGGUCUGGCUCAGUGGAGGCUGUGUUUCCCCACUGUUGCUUUUUGCAUGGAUUUGUUCAGCAGUUGAAUGGGCAGAGAAGGAGGAGUCUCUCCCUUCCUGUUCUCACACAGCUCUGCUUCAUGGACACCCACACAGAUUCACUGGAGAGCAAAGCCUACCAGAGUCCCUGUCAGCAGCACUGUUUCUAGAAGCUUCCACAUGAGCAGACAGCAUGGAGUCCUGGGGGCUAAUGAAGCAGCAAUGUCAGCAUGAGCACAGGCAGGGAGAGGCAAGAGGAGCAGAGUAAAGGGGAACGUUCUCUUCAUUCUUCCACCUGCCUGUCCCCCAGCCGACACGUCCCUUCCGUUCCCUGCAAGGCCAUUUCCAGGGAGGCUUACGAAGACAGCAGAUGAUGGUGAUGGAAGGAGUCUGGGUGCUGAGCUGUGCCAUGGACCUGGAGAGAAACUGAGUCCGAGGGAUGUCAACAUGCCAAGUCCAUGGAAAUAUCAGUGGGCUGGAAUUCUAGCUGCCUGAAAGAAGACAUUCCUCACACAAGACCUCACAAUCAUAUCCAUGGAAUUAUAGCACUGGGCUCUCCAGAUGGUGCUACAGGAAGACCUCCAGAAAUUUGACAAUCCUCUAUUCAAGGCCCUACCACAGAGACACACAGGAACGGAACUCAGAAUCACAAACAAAGAAACUUUGAUCCAAGAAAGAAAAUGAUCUUUAAAAAGACCCUCGUUUCAUGCUGGCCGAUGCUGAGAAAAUCUGCUCUGAAGGAUAUUUGGAGACACUGAUUAAAAGGUAGUACCAUCACCACAUAUUUAACUUCCCCCUCUUUUUCCUCUGCUUCUAGGAGUAGAGAAACCAACAAAACCAACCGGAGAGAGAUGGUUUCAAACAAUCUGUCCCCCACCCCACCACUAUUCACACCUUUCACAAGGGCCCAGCCACAAAGCCAGUGCAACAUGACAUCAAUCAUCAGCAAAGUGGAGAUGGUUGUCCCAGUGGAGGGGGAUUCUUCGUGUUACGUAGAUAGGAAGCACGAUGCAAAAGUGUUGAAGCAGGAGUGUAAAGAAUAAUUAAAACACCUGCCCAAGACCCAAGCAAGGAUAGGAUUUCCCAGACAUUCGUGAGGGAGAAAAUGCCAUGUCCUUUCCUUCUGGUGUCACAUCAGAAUCUGAAGGCUGCUAGAGAAGGGAGAGAAACAUGAAAGUGAGUCCCAUGCUGAUUGUUGUUGAAAUACCUGGAAAGAAACUGGCAAAGACUAUCCAAGGGAUGCUAAGACAUGUCCGAACUUACAAAACAGUAGAACCUGAAUAGGAAUUUGAAGUUGUCUAUACUCUCCUCAGCCACACCCUGCCAUUUUACAGAUUGUCUUCUCUGGGGAAGUUAGCUGUCAUGUUGUGAGGAUACUCAAGCAGUUUAUAAAGAGGUUCAUGUCGCAAGGAAUGGAGGCCUCCUGCCAACAGCCAUGUAAAGGAGCCAUCUAGGAAAUAGAUUCUCCAGCCCCAGUCAGACCUUCAGAUGAUUACAGCCCCUACCAACCUUCUGACUGCGGUGGAAGGAAGGUUCCGGAACCAGAACCACCCAGGUUAAUGUGGGUAAGUCUCAUCCAAUCCUUUGAAGGCCUGAAGAACAAAGAGUGAGGUUUCUGGAAGAAGAAAAUUUUACCUCAAGCCUGCAAUGUAGAAAUUCUGCUUGAGUUUCCCGCCUGCUGGCCUGCCCUGUGGAAUUCGGAGUCAAGAAGGAGUCUUGUAAGCAUUAACUGAGAUAGUAUAUGAAGAGUGCUUUUGCACCGAGUGAACCUUCAAUCAACUGUACUAGUUUGUAUGCCUGGAAGAGCUGCUAUAUGGGAUCAGAAAGAAAAAUAAGGUGCAUACGCCAGAAAAAAAAUACUUGCAUAUGAGUACUAGGAGAUGCAUGACAAUGUUCACGGCAGCAGUAUUCAUGGCAGUGAAAAAUGAAAAGAACUGAAAUGCCCAUUGAUAAAAACGUCUACUUAUUUGUGUCAUCUUUGCACAGUGGAAUUGUGCGAGUGGAAAUGAUUGAUCUACAGCUAGGAGAAGCAGCAGAGCUCAAUCUCAAAAACAUAACGUUGUGUGGAAAAAGCUAACCUCAGAACACUUUGCGGCUCUAUCUUAGCAAACCAGGAGAGAAAUUCUCCUGAUGGCCUUGAAGAAGCAAACAGCCACCUGGUUAAGCCCCUGUGGAUAGUGCCAAGUGGCAGGAAAGUGGGAGCCACCUCUAGGACCUGAGGAUUAAAGUCAGUAAGAGCUGGGACCUCACUCAUGCAGACUCGAGGACAUGAAUUCGACCAACAACUUGAAUGAGCUUGGAAGUGGAUUCUUCCCUAGUCCAGUCUUCAGAAAUUAAGAAUGUUCCCAAAGAAUGAUGGAGACAUUUCAAAAGGAUACGGAAGCCAGAUUGUGGGCGCUUCUACUGGCCAACUCUGGGACAUCGUGGACAUCAAAAUAAAUUUGUAAUAAUAAAGGAUUAUAGCCUAUUAGUUAAAUCAGAAAAAUCUGAUUUAACUAAAUGAGUAGGAGGAAAAGAAAGCUCUUCCUUAUAUUAGAAAGUCAAUUAAUAAAUGCAGAAAGGAAUGAAAAAAUUAGAAAAGCCACCAUUUGGCAACCAUGGCAGGCAGAAUGGGGAGUAUGCCUCCAGACAGUAAUUCCUUUCAAACUGGUUUAUAGGAACUCACUGAGCUUGCUGAUCGACCUCUGAGAGGCAAAGUUUCUGAAUUAUGAAGUACUGAUUAUAUAAACUUAGACAGAGACAUGCUUCAUUAUUUAAUAGGACUGUGUCAAAAGCCUACUAUUAGGAUGAUGUGUUGGGUGUGGAACAGGGUCUCUUCCUGCCAGGAACACUGGUGAUUUCACUCCGUGUUCAGGCUGAUCUUUGAAGUUGAAGACAAGCAGAAGAAUCCUUCUAAAAUUUAGCCAUGCCCAUAGGCUGGGAGGGACACUGCUCCAUUCAGAGGCAGCAAAGCACAUUACUGUAUCUCCUAUAGAGCUUUGAGCAGUCCAGUGUACAUGGAGAAACUUAGUAAAUGUUGUUGAAUUAGUGAAUGAACAAAUCAAUGGACCAAGUCAGGGGUAAGUCUUACAUUUGUCAUCUAGGUGAUUAAGAAAGGAAAAAGUAUCUGUUUCAAGAGGAUUACAAUCUAACUGUACUCCAAUAGUAAAAUUUACUCUUUUGGAAUCUG
RNAcentral lists this long non-coding RNA (3969 nucleotides) under Homo sapiens (human). RNAcentral describes it as "non-protein coding lnc-DIRC3-1:3". Lineage: Eukaryota; Metazoa; Chordata; Mammalia; Primates; Hominidae. The record is from RNAcentral.